RNAcentral lists this ribosomal RNA (336 nucleotides) under Triticum aestivum (bread wheat). RNAcentral's name for it is "partial small subunit ribosomal RNA". The record is from RNAcentral. Lineage: Eukaryota; Viridiplantae; Streptophyta; Magnoliopsida; Poales; Poaceae.
AUGUCCCCUUCAUUUUGCCAAGACGCGACAACCAGGAACGCCCAAGGACGCCUUCAUGGAUUUUGCCAAAUGCGACCACCGCUGAACAAAGGGUUUUUGCCUUGCUCAUUUUGGAUACACCAAGUUCCUCUUCAAAACGUACAACUACUCGGCGUUGCGUCAAGUAUCCCGAUGGCCGGAGUCCUCGGAUCCAUCAAGUUCGUCUACGAACCGAGAAUAACUACCGUCUUCGAAGAACCGUGUAGCGGAACCGUCAAGUUCGACUAUGACUCGUGUACGACUACGUGGGAUUCCUCGGACGCCAAGUUCAACGAUGCAUCAAGUUCCUCGCCGUGA